AACCCGCUCGCAUUCUCUCUCUGUCUCUCAAAAAUAAAUAAACAUUAAAAGGAAUGAGCAGUUUCAUUACCUCCUAAGGAGAUGGGAGUCCACGUGCGGUCGCUGUGGUUCAUUGUCCGUGAUUCCCAGAUGUAACUAGAGGAAGCCCUUGGUCUUGCUGAGUGGUGGCACUCGUCUUCACAAAUCCCUGCUGUCCCCUGGCUCAUUCGUUUUCUUCUCAGCCCAGUCCCCUCAGUGCUUGCUCUUCGUACAGCACAGCUCGCUGUACCCUGCUUAAAAUCUUUCUUGGGCUCCCUCAUCACCUUUCCAGGAACAGUGUAGGUACCAUAAUUUGGCUCCUGUCUUGACCUUUCUGGCCUUCCGUGGAGCCUCACCCUUGUGGGCUGAAUCACAGUGGACAUAAUCCCUUGAAUCCACUUAUAUAUACAAUUUAUGGGGUCUGGCUAUUUUUAGAAUGCUUUUUUGCCAGUGUUCGUUUUCCUACCCCCAUUGCCACAGUGUUUGAGAUCUGGGAUUAUGAUUAUGAGUUUCUUAGUUUUGUGUAUAGAAUCUUCUUUAAAGGUACUCUUUAAGGUGCCCCAAACUUUCCAGAAACGCUGCACAUCUGAUUGGCCACUUCUGUCCCUUUCCGAGGAUGGGUCCUGUCUUUGAGGACUAAUGCCCUCCCUGCCUGUGAGUUUAGGGAGGAUGUAGUGAUGCUGAGAGCCAUUCCAGUCAUAUCCUCAGUCCCUUACGAAGUGCGUCCAUACAGUUGUGGGCUCUCCAGAUGAGUGCCUCCUGGUUUCUGGUGAUUUCUUACAUCAGAGGGGUCUGUCUGCCUAUCCUGAAGCUCCUCAAACCAGUGUGUUCAUGAAAACUUUGCCUUGCAUCCAGACAUGGACUUUGCUUCCUACGUGGCACAUUUUUAAAAAUAUGUUUAAAUGUUUAUUUUUGAGAGAGAGAGAGAGAGAGCGCGCACGUGCAAACGGGUGGGGGGGGGGGGGUCGGAUACAGAACCUGAAGCAGGCUCCAGGUUCUGAGCUGUCCGCACAGAGCCUGAUGCGGAGCUCGAGCUCACGAACUGUGAGAUCAUGACCUGAGCCGAAGUCAAGACGCUUAACCAACUGAACCACCCAGGCGCCCCCAUUUCUCUGGGAGUGUAUCAUGGCUUUUCUAUUUAGGCAGCUACUGACACAGUAUUCUGGUUUCCCAUGAAAUGGGCUCUGAAUACUUCUGCCUGGUUUUAAGGCCCCUCCUACCUGCCCCUUCCUUCUGCAUUCAGGCUCACCUGUGACUUGCUGUUCUUAUAGAGCUGUCUCCUGUCUCCAUACCCAAACACUAUCCGCUCACUCCUCCUGGCCUUUACUUGGUUUCCCCCCUCUUCUGCAGCCCCUACCACCGGCCAUCUGUGAGAGCUACUCCAGAGCCCCGGUGUUUGCAGCAUGGUCCUGACGACUCCAGCCUGCCUGGAUAUGGUUUCCCUCCCUCCUGUGGUAGUCACUGCAGAGCUCACAAACUAGUGUCCGGCCGGCCACACCCAGCCCAUAGCCGUUCUCUGUGUUCAACUACAUUUGGCCCAGCUGCUGUCAUUUAAAUUUCAAGAAACUUCACAGAGAUACUGGGUUUCUGGCUUGUUUUGGAAAAUCAAUUUGAUAACUCUCUUAACCUAGUAGCUACUUUUUGUAAAUGGUGAAUAUUGUUCCCAUGUUGCCACAGUCCUACCCUGUCCUUGUUGUAACAGACCUUAUUAUGGUCUGAUAAUAUCUCUUACUAACAUUAUCUUCCUGGCUCCGAUAAGCAUCUGCAUUUGCUAUCCCUUGGUUGCUAGUCUGUAUCAUCCUCUACCCCUACCCUCUUUCUGUUCUCAAAAUCCUUGUGUGAUUUUUGUGAGACUAGGGAUGGCAGCUUUAUAUGUGUGCAUAUGUGUGUGUGUGUGUGUGUGUGUGUGUGUAUACAUAAUUUACAUUUUUAAUGUUUUGAUAUUUAAAAAGAAUUUGUUUUAAGUUUGUUUAUUUUGGAGAUAGCAUGUGAGCAGGGAAGGGACAGAGAGAGAAAGAGACACAGAAUCUGAAGCAGGCUCCAGGCCCUGAGCUGUCAGCACACAGCCCAACGUGGGGCUCGAACUCAUGAACCGUGAGAUCAUGACCUGAGCCGAAGUCGGCCGAUUAACCAACUGAGCCACCUAGCCGCCCCGGUUUUGAUAUUUUAACUUGAAUGCCAUGGUUGAUGUACACGUGACAGAACAUUUUUUUUCUUAUUUAAUAUACCCUACCUGGCAUUAGCAGCAUUUGAAGAUCUUAGUACCUUAAUACCAUCAUGAACAAAUUCCAUGCCACAUACCUCUGCAUCUCUGGAGGUAGGCAGGACAGAGCACAGAGCCAGGGAGGGUGAUUCCCAACUGGAAGGGAGAGUGCUAGGGAGAGAGAGGGAGGGAGACCUGUUUUUUCAUCUUUCAGUCUCCGUUCCAGCAUCAGCUGCUCCAGGAAGUUCUCUGGUCCAAUUUAGAUGUGUCCCUGUUGUUUCCCCAGAGCACUUAUUGAGCACUUCCUGUUCUCAUAUUAAGUGCCUCUGCAUACUUUAUUUCAUUUGAUCAUUGUAACUGUCUCGUUCAGGUAGCAACUCUUCUCCCGUUCAACAGAGACGGAAUCUGAGGCAGGAAGUUAAAUAAGUUCCCUAACACGUGGUUUGCAUCCAGAUUUGUCUCGAUUCCAAACCUGAGACUCCAACCACCUCACAAACUUGCCCUCCUGUGGCAUACCCCUCUGUACUCGUGUGAUUGAUGGUAUGCUUUUGCGUCCCUCCCUGUUCCCUGUGAACUUACUGAGGUCAGGGGAUGUGUUUACUUAUUUCUGUACUCUUGGCACCUGAAACAAAAUCGGCAAACAGGAAGUGUGUGAUAAAGGAAGUCAGUGCGAAUGCGUUUCAUUUUUUCCCCAGCUUAUUUGUAGAUCUUUUCACCUCUUCUGUUUUAAUUCUCAUGUGGUCCUAUUUGAGAGUAGGGUUUUUUUUCUCUUUAAGUCACCAUUUGUAUUAUACAACAGGGAAAGGCACUUAAAAUAUUUAGCCUUUCAAAUUGCCAAAGGGGAUCUUAUUAGGUGUUCGUAAUUACACUCACAAGUCAGGAUGGAUAAUGGAUAUCCAUGUGGAGUACAGAUGGCAGGGGUUUUAUUGCAGUUGGUAGAUCUUCAGCAGUUUCAGGUGAGAUUCUUAAAAUGUUUUGAUUCCGUCGUUUUUGCAAGUAGACUGAUAAUAAUUAAGCCAUUUUUCAAAAAGGAAGGAUAAAUAUACAAAUACCAAAUGAAGUUUAUAGUUUUUACUGAGACAUCCAAAAUAUGGAGUUGCAUAUCAUUUUGCUUCUGUGUCUCCUUUGUUCCUUAUUUGGUGCAAUAAGUAGAUAAGUGAUUACUUGCCAGAUAGAUUAUUGAACCUCUGUAACACUAUAUAAUUUCAGAACCUUCCAUACUUCUGCUUUGAUAGUGUGAUCAAAGCAAAUUGGAUUAUAAUCAACCAGUGCGGCCAAAUGUGGAACAUGUAGAAGACACAGAGUCUCUGACAGGAAAGUGAGCUAACGUGUGCCAUGAUUGUGAUCUUGAUUCCUGGGUCACCCAAGUAUCAUUGUAUAGAGGAGUCUGAGAACAGAAUGAAUGAAGUUGCUUUUUUAAAAAAAAAUUUUUUUUAACUUUUGAUAAAUAUUCGAGUCUAAAAAACAGAACCAGUACAUUAACUGUAGCAUCAUAGUCCUCAGGCUUUGAGAUAGAAGCCUCUGUUCUGAGAAAGCUCUGGCAUAAUUAAGAAAUUUUCAAUUAAGAAAUCAAGAACCACACGAGGUCUCCCCUCCCCUGAAAGUGAAGUUUUAAAUCCAGUUAAUAAGUAUACAUCAGUCUUUCCAUGGAAAAAAAUCCGGCAACAGUGAUGGCAUUGACCAUACAGAGAUUUGUACCAACUUUGAAGCAGAAGGAAAGCCUUAAAUGAUAGGGAAUCCUUGUUUCUGGCGGUCUGCAGGUCUAGUACCGCUAGCUGCCUUUUACUGAGUGCCAGGCUUACCUCUAACAGCCCUCUGGGCUGCAUAUCGUUCCCAGUUUUACUACAGGAGAAUUGAGUCAUUGAGAUGAAAUAACCUGUCCAGUGUCUUAUGCCUCAGGUUGUCUGACCCCAAACCUCUGUUUCCCUGUCCAGCAGUGCCACCAGGAUGAUGCAUCUUCUGUGUGUACACACACAGGUAGUCUAAACCUAUUUGUUAUUUGGAAAAAUAACAUGUUGGUUGUUAUGUUAUUUGGAAAAAGCGAAUCUGUAAAGACACGUAUUCGUUCAGCCAUUCUUAGACCAACCAGUGACUGUUCUACUGCAUGUGUUCUGGGUUACUUUAAGUGGAAUGAUGCUGUUAAUGCCUAAGAACAGUAAACUGACAUUCACAUUUCCUUGUUUGUUUGUAAAUUUCAGUAAAAAUUGAAAUGUGGUUGAGUUCUCAAUGUAGAAAAUUAAAUUCACUUUUGAUACUCGUCCCAGUUCCUGAUAAACAAUUGUCCUCAAUUUUAGGUAACUGGAUAAUUUUUAUUAUUUCAUUACAAAUUUUCUUUCUUAAACAGAGUCUCUGAUGAGUAUUUAUGUACCUCUUUCCCACUUUUUCAUUGUCUUUUAUUGGUUUGGAUAAAUGUGCAGCUCAAAGCUGGAAGAGUUCAUUGGCGUGACUAAAUUACAUCCCAUGAGUCAUGCUCCAAGAACGUUCUAGUCCUGAUAUUCAUGGUGCUGACAUGAUUGGCCCCUGUGACUGAAGACCGUAUGUGGAGAACUCCUUCCAGUGCUAGUGCUGAUUUGUGAAGACUUAACUGUCAAAAAUGCCGUAACCGGGGUGCCUGGCUGGCUCAGUCAGUAGAGCAUGCAACUCUUGAUCCUGGAGUUGUGAGUUCGAGCCCCAUGUUGGGUGCGGAAACCUACUUUAAACAAAAUGCCAUAACCGUUAUCACAAUUAGACUCUAUCCACAUUAACAUGCCCAGAGUUUCAGGGAAAUAUAAUCACAAUGAAUACGUAGUACACUAUUUUUCUAAAUUUGUAUUCUAGGCCAGAGAUCAGUUCCCAGUUUUAUGAAGAUGCAGUCUUUUGGUAUCCGUGGAUGAGAAAUAAAGUAGAAAAGGGACAAGGAGGGGUUUCCUGGGUGUCUCAGUCAGUUACACCUCUGACUUCAGCUCAGGUCAUGAUCCCAUGGUUUGUGGCUUUGAGCCAGCCCGUGUCAGACUCUGUGCUGACAGCUCAGAGCCUGGAGCCUGCUUGGGAUUCUGUGUCUCCCUCUCUCUCUGCCCCUCCCCCGCUUGCGCGGCUUGCUGGCUCCCGCUCGCGUGCUCUCUCUCUGUCUCUCUCUCUCUCAAAAAGAAAUAAACAUUUUUAAAAAAGAAAGAAAAGGGACAAGGUAUUAGAGCACUGGUAAAAUAAUCUUCAUUCAAAACCAGCUGUGCCACCCACUGGUGUUGCAACCUUCGUUUAAGGCCCCACGAUCCCUCUGCACCAUGCUUUCCUUAUCAGCAAAGUGAAGGCAGUAACCUCAGCCCUGCCCGUCUCUUGUUGAUGACCACGUAAAAUAAGGAGCACACGGGUGGCAGGUCGAGGUAUUCUGUAACCACAGAAAGGUACUGAACUGAGACCCAGACUCAGGUUUCUAAUCUGGUACACAGCCAGACUUUACUCAAAGUUAGGCCCCAUUUUCUUUGUUGGCCUCAUGUUUGAUGGAAGACGGGCAGAGGGUUCCACGCACAGUAGUAGGGUCACUCUUAGAAACGGAUGCCCCAGAUGGCUCCGUGGACUAGCUCCCCACUUAACACCAGACGCCCAUCCUCUCUUUCACUUCUCUUGUUUUUUUUCUCUCUCCACUACUUAAUCUCUCACUCUUUCCGAUCUGUCUUAUAGAAAUUAGUGAAUAUUUUUAGAGAUGAGAGACCCAGAGAUCAUCUAGUCAAAUCUGUUUAUUUUUAAGCUGAGUGAACCAAGGCCGAGAGGUUAGCACACUGCUCAAGAGCACACAGCUAAUACACAGCCAAGCUGGUGAACCCCAUGUGCUCAGUUUCGAAAGCAGAUCUGUUUUCACCACACCGUGCUGCCUUUAAAAUUUCGUUCCCAUGGAAUGGGGCACCCCCUUUUAAAAAUAUGGUUACAUAUCUCUGCAGAAGUGGGUUUCUAACACCAGCCACUAGCAUUUAGUGUGGUGCGAGCCGUGUCUUCAUAAUUCCUGGUUUCUGUGGUCAAGGCUCCGUGUGAAAGAGCUGACCCAUCUUGCAGAGAAGCAGAUUGUGGCAGAAGGUAUGGGUAACUUCAAACCCCUAACACUGGCUGUGAGAUUAGACCUUACAUGAGAAAAGAGGAGUUUCCUUUGCCUCCCCCGUGUAUUUACAGGCUAAAGCAACCACAAAGUUCAGAGGAAAGUGUAGGAUUUGUGUACAUAUGUUCAUUUUUUUUUUUCCUCUCUCACAGUCUCAUUGAGAACAAAGUGCUUGAGGUUUGGGGGGUUUACCUGAGAAGCAGAGAGACUAAGUCAGAAACCUGGAUCUGUUGUCCUUAGGAGCUGUGUGAACUUCUAGAACUCCCCUCACUUCAGCUUUCUCAUCUGCGAAACGGGUUUGAGGGUUCCUGAUUUGUUUGUCUUCAUUGAGUUCUGGUUCUGCCCCAAGCAUGGUUACUGGGUAGGGUCAGAGGACGCUGGGUAGCCCAGAAGGAAUAGUGGUUUCUCCUGCAGUCCCCCUGCAUUAGAUUUAGAAUUAACAAGGGUAUUCAGUGCCUGCGGAUUAAAUACCCAAGGAAUUAUUUUGGGUAUUUUUGUCCUUUGUCUUGAAUAUGUGUAUUCCUCAGCUAGAGAAAUUGGUGGCAUGUAUUGAAAAGAAAGAAAAGACAAAAGAAAUGCUGAUUUGCAUGGAAGGCAUUUGCAAAGAAAGAAGAAUGUUUUCUCAUUGGCAGAUAUUGUCUUCAUGUGUUUCUAAUGAAACAGAAGCCAAUGGGUCUCUGGUUUAUUUCUUUGUUUCCACUGUGAUGUUGUUGAUGUCAGCAAAAAAUGUGGUUUGUUUUUUGGAGAGGGUCAUGUUUUCUUUUUCCAUUUAGCAUAGGAAUGGUGGAUCCUAUCUGCCACACCCCUCUAAAAUAAUAAAAUAUGUCUAGAAUAUGGGAUGUGACUACAGCUUUCCGUGGUCAGUUAGAUCCAGUCUCAGGAUCUGGACUCUGAAAAUUCUUUUGGAAAUGCUCAUGUAACCAUAGCGACAGACGUGCAUAACACUGCCUAAUAAUUACUUUCUAUGCUCCUUCCCUUCGUACUGUCUACUUAGUAUCAUGUGGAAUGGAGGGCCCAUACUUUUAGGAUGUGAGUGCUAAUUUACAUAUGUUAACAUGGCCCUUUGAUUUUUUUCAAUGCAGGGAAAGUAAACCUUGAGCCUCAGUGAGAACCAGUCUUCUCAGAAUCUCUUCCUUCCCUCGCUCAGAAUUCAUUGUUUGCUCAGCUGAGCUCCACCCCGAUGGGGCCAGCUUCCUGCCCCCCUGACACCUCUGUGGAUGCCAUUUGUAGUUGGAGAGCUUACCUGCCGAUUUCAGUGCGAUGGGCCCACGAACGCCCACAGCUCUCAGUCAGUAGACACAUCAUGAGCCAAAGAAGACAUUUAUGUAAUCUGGGGACAAAUUUGGAAACUCCUGUGAGAAAUCUCACAGAAACCCUUUCCAAAUGUGAGCUAAUGGCUGCCUUUUGUGGUGUUUUCUAAAGCAUUUGAAAACCAUUUCUGUAUCUGUACUUCCUUUAUUUCCACCCAUCAGACUUUCCUUUCUGGUGCCAUGUUGUCAGUUUGAGUACUGUGACACCAAUUUUGGAUAUCUGUCAUGAGAACACAUGUUGCUUGCUUUGUGUGCAUCUUUUUGGUUUUAAAAUGAUUUUGUUUUUGCUUACUUUUUUUAUGUUUUAUUUAUUUUUGAGAGAGACAGAGCACAUGUGGGGGAGGGGCAGAGAGAGAGGGAGACACAGAAUCCGAAGCAGGCUCCAGGUUCUGAGCUGUCCUCACAGAGCCCGACGCGGGGCUCAAACUCACUAACCAUGAGAUCAUGACCUGAAUCGAAGUCGGAUGCUUAACUAGCUGAGCCACCCAGGCACCCCUUUGCUUCAUUUUUAAAGAUGGGAUUGUCUAAACAUUUUUCUCUGUGGCAAAAAUGGAAUUGAUGCUGGGAAUUUGUUUUUGCUGUGUUGAAUUGAAUUUUCUGGGUCUUUGACCUCGACUGAACUUCGCUUUAUCUUUUUUGUUGUCUUAAACUCACUGGACAGAGAGCACUCGUGGGGUAUACGGUCAUCAGUGUGCUUCCCUUGCUGCCUGUAGACAUGACCUCACUACCUCCUUACAUCCUUGCUUCGGAGCGGUUGUCAUCUGGGAGGUGAAUGGCCAGGCUGCACGAGACAGAGACCGUUUACUUCCUCUUGCGCCCUGAUCCUGCGUGGCAGCAGCUUCCUCAGUCUUAUUCAGGUUCCCGUGGCUGGUGGUCCUCAGCCCUAGCAGGUAUCACGACUCCUCCCUCUUGGAGCUUCUGAUCCGGACAGGCUGGUAUGGGGCCCCCGGGUCUGCACAGAAAACACUCACGGGCGAGUCUGGUGUGAAAGGGUGCAGGCGGGGCUUGGAGGACAGGCCUGCCCCCUGUGCACCAGCUAGGCCUCACAACGAGGAAACACGGGUGAGGAGUUGGGAACGUUCCCUCCACCCUGGGACUGGCCUCCAUCAGCAAUGGGCAGGGGGCCUUCUACCCCCGGGCUCGGGCUCAUUUCGUUCCCUGCCUCUGACACUGCCGCUCCUGGAGCCACCCACGAGCCGCCCUCCCCAUCCUUGUGCUUCUGCCCUUCGCCUUCUCUUGACUCCAUUUCAGCCUCAUGGAGGAGAGUCACGCGUGCCGCCACAGAGCUUUUUCGUGAGCGCAUGUUUCUGCUGUUGGCUCACCCAGACAAGUGCCGUAUUCUUUGUUUUCCUCAGUUCGGGUUGGGCCUGCCACCCUGUUUGGUAAGAGGUCAGGUCAGGUGCUCACCCCAGAUGUUCACAGCUGUGCUGGGUGUGGUCCCAGGAGGCCCGGUGGGGGGUCUGUCCAGGACUCAUGCUGGCUUUUUUAAAGUCAUUUUCAGAGCCUCCUGUCAGUAACAUGACCAUCAGGUGUCUUUGCCAGCUCACCCUUUGUAUUUCAUGAUUGGGUGUAGUAGAAGAGACCCUAAAUUUUGAAUUAAGAUUUAAGAGUUAAAAUCUUUCUGGGCUCAGCUUCCUCCUUUAUAAAAUGGGGGCUAAUGCAGCUUUUCUCCCAGUAAUAAAGUGGAAUGUAUGUGAAAUUGCUUUAUAAACUAUUACAUAGAAAGAAGAGACUGUUGUUACAGCUGUAACAGUAUAGUACCCACCUUUUUAUCCUGAUGACUCCCUCCUCCCCCACCCUGCUUUGUUGAGAUAUAAUUGACAUAUAACACUGGGUAAGUUGAAGGUUUACAACACGGUGAUUUUAUAUAUGUAUAUAAUGUUUGUCACAAUAAGGUUAGUUAACACAUCCAUCACCUCACCUAGUUAUAAGUGUGUGUGUGUGGGGGGUCUGCUCUUUUAGCAACUUUCAAAUAGGCAAUUCCAUAUUCUUAACUAUAGACACCACACUGUACAUUAUGUCCAUAGAACUUUGUUAUCUUACAACUGAGAGUUUAUGGCCUUUGUCUUCCCCCCCCCCAAACCCUCCCCCCCCCCCACUUUUUUUUUUCAAAUAAAUGGGAACUGGGCUCUGGGAGUAUGCUAUGUCUAGGACACCAUACCUUAUUAAUAGCAAUGCCAGACCUAGAAGCCAGGCCCUCGGGGUUCUUUUUGUAUCUUUUUUUCAGCACAGAGCAUCGAUUCAUUCAUAGAAGGUCUUAAGGCUGGAUCUUUUUCUUUUCUUCAGAGCGGCCUGCUUGUUUUUUGGAACUUCUCUCUUUCCUUGAUCACUCUAUCUUAGAAUCUGUUCCCGGAGCCUCUGAUGAACCUCAGACAUUAUCAGGACAUUGACUUCUGUAAAAAAUGUAGCCAGUAUCACCUUUUAGCUUGAUUGUAAGUACCUGUGUCCCUUUCCAGUUCUUUUGUUCUAGAACUAUUACCUAAAAUUAUUUAUAUUCCAUAUAUAUAUGUGGAAUGGUUCUUUUAGUAACUGUUCUAUUUCUCAGAGUGGGCACUUAGCUCGGUGCAUGCCCAUGUUUCCAAAGUGCUUUCUGGCUCCUGUGCUGGCCACGAGGAGAGCUUUUGCACACAAGUGAGCCAGGAUGUCUCAGGGGAACUGGUAAUUGAGAGAGGGGUAUUGACCUUGUGGUCAUCAGUCUGAAUGUGCCUAAGUGAGUAGCAGCCCAAAGCCAUUACUGCUGCCUUCCAGGAAUCUUUAAUAAAUGAAUUAGCGGGCUUUCUGGGCUCUUGAUGACCUGUAGAAAGCCUCAUACAGGCUUCAUUUGUUCACCCAUUUAUUUUCUUCCGUUGGGGCCUGAAAUACAACCCCCUAUGUGGAAAUCUCCCAGCUAUGGGUUUCAGAGCUCUUGGAACAGGAGGAGUAGUUGCCAUUUGUGACUGUCUUCUGAGAACUAGGAGCUUUGUACACUCGCUAAUUUCAUUCUCUCUAAAACUGUAGAGGUGUCUAUAAUUAUACCUUCGUGUUUCAAAGACGAAGCCACGGAGUCUAAGUUAACAACAACAACAAAAAAAAAAACAGCUUAAGAUCACCCAGCUACAAAGUACACAGUAUUUUAAUAUGGACCUAUAGUGUGAAGAAUCUGUUCUACUACGUCCCUCUUCCAAGUGAAGGGCGGGGAGAAAAGAGAGGAGAAAAGAGAGGUUCACUGGCCAUUUCCACCCUUAAGUGUGGGGGAAAGAAGAAUCACACUAGGCCAACGAGGAGGACUUUAAGAGCUCCAUCUGACUCCUUUGGUUCCUUUCAGCAAAUAUCUGCUCUGUGCCUGGUACUGUGCUGAGGGGAAGAAGUGUGUUGCCAUUCACUUCUCUUGGUCCCAAGGAAAUGGACUCCUGUCGAUCAGACUCGAUCAAGUAAAACGGUAUAUCAUCGGGUGUUAAUGCCCAAGGUACAUCCCUGACAGUGAGUGCUCUGGGAGGUAGUGGGAAGAGAGAAGUUGCCGUAUCAAAUUGAUCUUCUUUGGCACAAGGAGGAGAUUUAGCAUCCCUUUUACUGUUCUCCACCUAAGAAACUUAUUAGGCAUACUUAAAAGGUAAAUGAUGGUUCAAGGUAGAUUGAGGGAUCCAGUGCAUGGGUCUAGACCAGAAACCACAGCUUCCUGAUUUCUGCAGCCUGCUUCUCUGUCAACUAGGUUUUAUCUUCUCUCUGCCAAAGAACCCACCCUCCUCAUUUCUGCACUAUUGGCCCAUAAAACAAUGAUGUCACCAUGAACAGAUGAAGUGAAGACGCGCCCUCUGGGAAAGGAACUCAAGAUGCCAGCAGGGCCCAUCUUCCAUGCCUCGGUGACAGGCACGUCCCUCCGUCCAUCUGCAGAAUAACCACACUCUGGCACCUCUCAUAGUCAAGGCCUGCCUUUCUGACCUGGUUCUUUUCAAGGGUGGGGGUCAGUACGAGCAGGGAGGUGCGCACUAGCACGAGAAGAAUGAAGCAGUGAUAGGGCUGAUGGUGCUCUAGGUUAUAGAGCUUUAUAUGCGAAAGGAAUUUAGGCAGCAUUUCCCUUUUUCAGAUGCAGAAACUCAGCAUCAGCACAGAUAAAGGCCUGCAAGAUCUCACAGCAAGUUAGAGGCUGAGCCAGGACUAGACCCCAGGUCUCUUCACUCGAAGGCUCAAGUUGUGUGCCUGCCCCUCCCUACCCCCCGCACCCCCCCCCCCACGUCCCCGCUUCAUCCCAUGGGGGUGCUGGGGCUGACAGGAUUCUGAACAAGUCUUAGGGGUCAGAAUAAUGAGCUCUGUGACGAGAGCACAAGUUCAUAGGUUUCGUCCGUGUGACCGCCUGCACCUACACAGGGCAGCGUGCACAACCCUGGUUGCACGUUACGAUCACCUGGGGAGCUUGAGAAACGUGUGUGGGCCCCACCACAGCCCAGUUGAAACCACUCCUUGUCCUCCUGCAAGUAUGACCUGUCUCACCUAAGAUUGUCAUCUUGCAGUGACAUUGCAAGGUUUUCUCCAAGUGCCAUCGGGAACCCCAGGGGUGCCAGUUAAGAAACAGACUCCGGGUCUCGUCUGCUUCUCCUGAGUACAACCUUCUGGUGUCAGGAGCUGGGCUUCUGCAUCUGAAGCAAGUUCCCGGUGAUUCUGAUGCAAAACCAGUGUUCUGACAUGGUGUGUUUCCUUCUAGUCCGUCCUCCCUGGCCCCCCACUGGCCCCUCCUGACGCCUCCAACCACUCUGCUUCUGCUCCUUCCUUCUUCAGGGCCAGACCUGGAGGGGAGGAAAGCGGGCGUGACCUUGCCCUGGCAGGGCCUCUGAACUUCAAACUUUUGUUUUUUUGUUUUUUUGUUUUUUUACAUUGGUUUGGUUUUUCUCUUUCAAAAGGGAAAGAAAUUUGCAAUAUAGGCUUUCUUUCAUAUUAAUUUUAAAACGAUGAGUGAUGAUGACAACACUAAACUGAACCUUUUUUUUUUUUAAAGAAACUAGAUCGAUCCACUGGCCAGUAAGCAGUGGGAUUGUGUCUUUCACCAUUAGCUCAUCCUUUUUUUGAGCUUUGUUUGUGAUGUUACCCUUUGCAUCAUCACUAGAAAUACGGCUAUCACUGGGCACUCAGCACUGACCUCAACAUAGCAGAAAAAGUGUUUCCCACUUUCCUCUCAAAAUACACAGGAUCCGACAACGGUGAUACUAGAAAAACAUAAUAGCCAUUAUUAUCAAUAUUCUUGAAAAGAGAAGUGACAAUAUUUCUCCCUUCUAAGUUUUUUCAUUUCUAGCACAUCUAAACCUUCACUCGACUGACUUUGUUCUUUCUGGCUCUAGGAUUUCGUAUUGUACUUAUUACAAAGCACACAAAAUGGUUCUACUCUUGCUCUGUGCGAUGCUAUUCCACAGAUAAAGAAAACACUUUAAAUGAAGGACAAAAAGCCCCCUCAGGAGUGCACUUCUGCAGAAUGCAUUUCUGCCUGACAUCUUUUGACGCCUUAAUUUUGAAAAUUUCACAUUUUUAAGGAAAAAAACUGCUUGUUUCCCCUCUUCAGAUUUAUCGUCUUCGGUAUGAGGGUUCUCUUUGUGUUUGUGGAGGUGGUCUUCUGCUUGCUUUCGGUGUUUUGUCUUCAUAUCAUUAAUUUUGUGUCAGGCGGUAAGGUCAGAGAUGUGCUGAAGCAUUUUAGCUUAGGGAAACCAUGUUUAGAACUGUGGACUCGGGGACGUCCACUCUUCUCUUCCCAACCUUGCCACCAUAAGUGACCCUUGUAACUGUGAUCUAGAACCACGAAUUCAGUCCUGUCUUUACAUUGCUCUGGUGUCAUAUAAAGGUUUUGUGGUACCUGUUCUAAAAUCUGUGCAAUAUUGAAAAACCAGUGGAUUUACUGCAGCAGGAUACAGGGCACUUUAUGAUUUGUUUGGAUUUUCUGGACAUUGAGGACUGUGAAGCAAAGGUGAACGGGUCUGGGAAACAAGUGGGAAAGGGAUAUUUGAAUUUUCAGAUGACCUUUAGCAAGUUACUUAAUUUUUCUAACUCUCUGUUCCUUCACUGUGAAACAAAUCUAGCAUCAUUACUUCAUCGGAAAGACUAUUUAGGGACUGAGAAUAUUCAUGUAAAGUGCUCGGCUCAUAAGAUUGAAGGUAGUAAGAGCAAGAUGAGCUUGACAAAUCUUGGUUGAAUAUGAGUCACCAUCUGGAAUCAACUCUCAGGCUUUGUAACACAGACCAUUCUGUGACCAAGGGUCUGAAUCUGUGCCUUGGGCAGCAGCAGUGGCCUUGUUUUGGUCGUUGUUGUUUUUCUGAAAUGAAUCAACUGCUAGUUGUAUAACGAACAUUCAGGUGGGAAGGAGCCUAUCCCCAAACCCUCAAGCACGCACCUGCCUCCAGUCGACCAAAACGGCGAUGAACAAAGUAAAGAAGAUAAAGUUAGGCCUGAAAUAAAUGGGCAAAUAGCAUCAGCUCAUUCAACCUGUUAGUAACUUAGUAUUUCUUGCCUUUUUUUCCCUUCCAGUAUAAAGACUUUCAGUUUUAUUCCCACAGGGAUUUUGUGCAUCAUAAAAAUAAGAAAGUGGGGGGGGGAAUGAAAACCAAACAAAGUGGCACACAGUUGUUUUAAAUAUGAAACAGGGGGAUGGUACACUAAAUUGAGUAAUUCAGGAGUGGAGAUAAUCAUGUAAAAAUAGGUAGUUUCAAUGGGGACCAUUUUUUAAUAUGAAAUCCAAUAAUGAAAGCAAGUUUAACUCCAUGGAUGAUCAACCCAGUGGUUUCUAGUUUGUCUAGUUCCAUUUAAAAAAAUCUCGUGGCUUCUAUCGUAUUUCUGAAAGAUGCAAAAAUAGAAGACCAAGAAAUAUGGUGAUGUGGGUUGGUAGGUGUUGGAAGCCUGAUUUCUAAGUGAGAUGAAUAGCGUGAGCAUCUGAGCUCUGCAUGUAGAAAUGGAAAAAAUGCUACUGAUUUUGUUCCCUCCCCUCUUUCUCCUUGAGGUGGUAAAUAUUCUUUUUACCAAGUCUUUAAGGUAUAACUUCUUGGUAAAGAAAAACGAGUAUUUUGCAGCUAUGUGGCAUAUAACAAUGAAGUGCCUUUGUGACACAUCAUUAUCAUUUGUAUUAUUAUUU
Long non-coding RNA from Leopardus geoffroyi (Geoffroy's cat), 14681 nucleotides. RefSeq lists it as uncharacterized. NCBI's taxonomy places the organism in Eukaryota, Metazoa, Chordata, Mammalia, Carnivora, Felidae. The transcript is spliced from 2 exons. The record is from RefSeq and is a predicted model, not a curated record.